UUGAGCUGCCUGCGGUGAAAGCCGCACGGGCAGUUCUCAGGGGACCGGCGGGGAACCCGCCGGUCCUACCCGAC
RNAcentral lists this non-coding RNA (74 nucleotides) under Saccharomonospora amisosensis. The record is from RNAcentral. Lineage: Bacteria; Bacillati; Actinomycetota; Actinomycetes; Pseudonocardiales; Pseudonocardiaceae.